UACGGAGGGUGCGAGCGUUGUCCGGAAUCACUGGGCGUAAAGGGCGCGUAGGCGGCCUGAUAAGUAGGGGGUGAAAUCCUGUGGCUUAACCGCAGGGCUGCCUUCUAAACUGCCGGGCUAGAGCACAGUAGAGGCAGGUGGAAUUCCCGGUGUAGCGGUGGAAUGCGUAGAGAUCGGGAAGAACAUCAGUGGCGAAGGCGGCCUGCUGGGCUGUUGCUGACGCUGAGGCGCGACAGCGUGGGGAGCAAACAGG
Molecule: ribosomal RNA, 253 nt
Filed under: uncultured bacterium
Lineage: Bacteria
Description: partial 16S ribosomal RNA
Rfam family: Bacterial small subunit ribosomal RNA
Source: RNAcentral